RNAcentral lists this ribosomal RNA (484 nucleotides) under uncultured bacterium. Its description in RNAcentral is "partial 16S ribosomal RNA". It matches the Rfam family "Bacterial small subunit ribosomal RNA", at positions 30 to 507 of the family's 1533-position model. The record is from RNAcentral.
AUUGAACGCUGGCUGCAGGCCUAACACAUGCAAGUCGAGCGGAUGAAGGGAGCUUGCUCCUGGAUUCAGCGGCGGACGGGUGAGUAAUGCCUAGGAAUCUGCCUGGUAGUGGGGGAUAACGUCCGGAAACGGGCGCUAAUACCGCAUACGUCCUGAGGGAGAAAGUGGGGGAUCUUCGGACCUCACGCUAUCAGAUGAGCCUAGGUCGGAUUAGCUAGUUGGUGGGGUAAAGGCCUACCAAGGCGACGAUCCGUAACUGGUCUGAGAGGAUGAUCAGUCACACUGGAACUGAGACACGGUCCAGACUCCUACGGGAGGCAGCAGUGGGGAAUAUUGGACAAUGGGCGAAAGCCUGAUCCAGCCAUGCCGCGUGUGUGAAGAAGGUCUUCGGAUUGUAAAGCACUUUAAGUUGGGAAGAAGGGCAGUAAGUUAAUACCUUGCUGUUUUGACGUUACCAACAGAAUAAGCACCGGCUAACUUCGUG